AACACUGAUGAUAAUGCCCUUUUUGUGUAAACUGAUUGAAAAAAAUGCCUUCGGAUUUUCAGCCUGCUACAUAACAUCACAAGGUGAUCUGAUUCUAAUAGACCAAUGAACAUUCAUCGUUCAUUUGCAUAUACUGUAUCCUCCUAGUUCUGGUGCAGCAUCGAUUUAUUUUUCAUAAUCAAGUGUCAGAGAAGCACACAUGGGACUGCAUUGCAAAUCAGGCUAGGUACACAGCUGGAUUUUCCAGCAGCUCCAUCUUUAUGUCACAUGGAUCUUGAAACCGGCAGCAGUAGCAACCAUUCAUGAAGGUCAUCGCUGAGGGAGGACCAUGAGGUCAUGGACUUCUUGGAGGAAGAUGCUUUUGAUGAGGAGCUACUUGGUGAAGAUGAUGACGAAGAGUAUGACACACACACAGGACAGACAGGUGGACAUCGACUGGCAGAGAAGCAGCUGAACUGGUUCCCCCCAAUCCUCCUAGGUUGUUGCUGGUGGAGGUGGCUGCUGUACAUACCAAGCUGGUGGUGCAGGUCGUAUAAAUGCUCUAGCCUGGUCCCAGAUCUGUUUAUGCUGUCUUGCUAACUCCUAAUGUAUGAUAGUUGUCAUGCCAUGUUACCACAGCAGUUGGCUAUACAUAGGAGUUGGCUAUAUAGCACAAACAGAUUGAAGACCAAGCUAACAUUUGGCUGAUUGUCAGAACAGAAAGAGUGAAACUUCAUUGUACUUGAAGACUACUCUAGAAAUUGUUGUCUUUGUUACAGGAAAGAUAAAAAGGAGAAUAUGACGUGGAUUGCUUGUGUGGCAUCCGAAUGCAAGGGCAAGUAGUUGUGUAUCAUUUUAUGGUUAUGAUAGUGAUGUAACUUGCACUUUGUUUUCAGGUUUGAAUGAGACAAUGUAUUCCCCUAACCUUAUUCUUUCAAUAAAGUUAUUGUUUUAUUAAUAUUAUAU
Molecule: long non-coding RNA, 945 nt
Organism: Coregonus clupeaformis (lake whitefish)
Lineage: Eukaryota; Metazoa; Chordata; Actinopteri; Salmoniformes; Salmonidae
Exons: 2
Source: RefSeq, a predicted model, not a curated record